UCCGUUAAGAAGGAAACAUUUUUAUUUUUCCAUUAUCGAAAAAAAAUUAUGGUACAUUGCUGGAUUUGCCAGAAAAAGACUGAAACGAAGCGGAAACAGCCGAGUAGGAACGUGAUGUCAAAACCGGCGAUAAUAGCGUGCAUUGGAAUACAUUGUAAGAACGACGAUGAAUUUUCCAAUAUUUCGGGUGAUGAACCCAAUUCUGAAGGGUCCCGUGAAGAUGAAGAAUAUGACCUUUGUAAAGGUGUUAAAGGUUAUCAGUUUGAGCCAGUUCGAAUGCAGACGAAAUAGCUGCCCACGAAGAAAGGGCCGAGCACCAAGGGAGGAGGAUAUGCCUCGUGUUGGAAACAAAGACUGAUUUGCAUAAAGUGUCUCGAGUGGAGCGUCACUCUCACUUCUCGUUGCGUUGUGGAGGCGACGGUGACGCCGAAGCUGGAUGUGAGAAUCCGUCCCUGCGCCAGCACUUUCUCACACUGAGGCUUCCUCCCCAGCGGCCGAGAUCUUCCUGUAGCAGUAGAUCAUCUCCACCAGAAGCCACAACUGCAGACCGAUGAUGGACACGUACAUCAUCACCUCGGACAAAAUGGAUGCCAUCCCUCGCGUCACUGGUGCACGGGGGUACAACAGAGGUGUAGUCGUUGUAGGCGAGCACACGGCUGAAGACGCACUUGUAGGCGCCCGUGUCGUUGAAGGUGACGUUGGCGAUGUAGAUGGAGCCAUCCUGGAGAUCCAACGUGUGUCUGCUGCCACGCCACUGCACGCGCGACUCAAAGCGCUGGUCCGCAAUCCAGCCGUGCUCGUCCUCGUAGCUGUACAGCUGAGCAGCAAAGCGUACAGUGUGUUGUAUUUCCGCGUCACUGACAUGUGAGAAGUGGACGUCGUCGCGGGCCUUGAAGAGCCAAGUGACGCUGGCCGUGGCCUUGACCUCGCCCCUCCUCUUACACGAGAUGCAGCCCAGCUUGAAUCCUCGGUUG
Long non-coding RNA from Syngnathoides biaculeatus (alligator pipefish), 974 nucleotides. RefSeq lists it as uncharacterized. The record is from RefSeq and is a predicted model, not a curated record. NCBI's taxonomy places the organism in Eukaryota, Metazoa, Chordata, Actinopteri, Syngnathiformes, Syngnathidae. The transcript has 5 exons.